AUGGACGACGCGGACAUAGAUUUCACCAAUCCAGAGACGUACCCGCGCCCGGCCAUGGACAGCUACUUCGACGACGUCCUGAAAGACACGCAGCACGCCUGCUGCAACCCGCAUGUCGAGGACCUUGCCCACCACGCGCACACCUGCGUCCAUGUCCACACUAAGAUCCACCCGGCAGAGUCCGACGAUGUCGCGGAGACAUCCGAGUCGCCGCAACAGAAUAGCGGGGCCAAGAAGCGCCCUUCUGGUAAUCGAGCAGCUGUGAGGAGGUACCGUGACAAGAGGAAGGCCCGCACAGCGUUGCUGGAGGAAGAGGUGGCUCGCCUCAAGGCCUUAAACAGGCAGCUCGUGAGGAAGAUUCAGAGUCACUCGGCGCUUCAGGCUGAGGCCUCCAGGCUCCGCUACCUGCUUGUCGACAUUAGAGGGAGGAUCGAAGGAGAGCUCGGAGUUUUCCCUUGCCAGCGGCCUAUGAGAAACAACGAUUCGGCUGACCAGGGAAGUUUCCUUGGUGGUGGUGCCCAGCAGGUCAGGCUCAGAUGCAACGAGCCGCUCUACCGCAUGGCUCCCAGGUUUGCCCGAUGA
RNAcentral lists this ribosomal RNA (582 nucleotides) under Triticum aestivum (bread wheat). RNAcentral describes it as "partial small subunit ribosomal RNA". Lineage: Eukaryota; Viridiplantae; Streptophyta; Magnoliopsida; Poales; Poaceae. The record is from RNAcentral.